This 1245-nucleotide long non-coding RNA is filed under the name Cyanistes caeruleus (blue tit). RNAcentral describes it as "lncRNA (ENSCCEG00000010928.1)". Lineage: Eukaryota; Metazoa; Chordata; Aves; Passeriformes; Paridae. The record is from RNAcentral.
UUUUUUUAUUAUUUGACAGUUGUUUUAAUGCCUUUUAUGCCAUUGAAGGUAGGUUUCUGUCACCUGCAGAUCUGAUGGGAUGACGAACUGCAGCAUGAAGCUGAGAAACUUGUUGAAAUAGCCCUGCUGCCAGAGAAAAUGCAGCAACCCCAGCACCCUAAGGAUCUAAAAUAUGCUCUCUAGGCUGUUUCUGUGGUGUGCAGUAGUUAGUUCAUUUCUUUUGUUUGCAAAAGCUAACGAGAAGCAAUAGGGCACGGAUCUCUCUGCAAAACCAAGGGGCUGUGAGAAAGGCACAGCUCUGCGCACAGCUCUGCACCUGCAUUUGUGGAUGGUGCCUUGCAUCAUCCUGGAAAAGAACACUUCUGCACAGUACCAGUACAAUACCUCACAAUGAAAGGUUUCCAGUGAAGCACUUGAAAACUGAAGUGUUUUCAGUCUCCAGACAGAAGAAAAAAGGUAUGGAAGGCCACCAAGCUGUAUUGUCACGCUGACUCCUGAGAAAAUCCAGGAGCGGUGGGGAGGUUCAGGCAGGCACUCCAGUGCUGCCCUCUCUUUGCCAAAGCAGCUGCAUUUCUUGCACAAGUGACAGUCAGGGCCAAUAAUCUGGAAAACUGCAGGAAGGCAUGUCUGCUGUAACAGUUGUAAAUCUGCAGGAAUGAGGCCCAGGUGAUGUGGGGUUCCAGCUGUUCCAGCUGUGCUGGGAGUAGCUGGGGUGUCAGGCAGUGGUGGCAGCUGUGAGAGUGCUGGUUGCCAUUGAGGGGGAAUGGGGGAGCCCUAGAUGGACAGCCAAGGACAGGGACAGGUAGGGUCCAGCCCAGCUUGGUGCAUGAAGUCACACAAGGCUGUGUGUGAGAUCUGGGGAAGACUGUGGGAGCUCCUGAAACAGCAGUAGCUUGAGAACUGACAAACUGCAUCUUGCUUCACCCCUGCCAAGACCUAAAGAGCUAAGCUGACCGUGAUGUAAGCAGCUAGUCCUCUGUAUCAGCUGGAGAAGCUGAUUUUCCUUUAUCUGUAGAAUCGCUUGAGCUCUUCCUCAUAAAUGGCUGAGCUUCUCUGAUUCCUUUGUCUGGUGUAUGCAGGUAAUUAAAAUCUCUGGUUGCAAAACUUUUUUGAAUGAAGUGUCCUAAAUAAGUAUGGUAUUAUCAUGGCUAAAAUGAUUUUGAAACCAUGUUUAUCUCCAAAUUCUAUUUCCUAGUUUGGUUCCUUUGGAAAAAGGCAUAAAAAUAAUGAAUAAUGUGGUGAUAU